Molecule: ribosomal RNA, 233 nt
Filed under: uncultured bacterium
Lineage: Bacteria
Description: partial 16S ribosomal RNA
Rfam family: Bacterial small subunit ribosomal RNA
Source: RNAcentral
GACGUAGGGUCCGAGCGUUGUCCGGAGUUACUGGGCGUAAAGGGCGCGUAGGCAGCUUUGUGCGUCACACGUGAAAGCCCCUGGCUUAACCAGGGAGGGUCGUGUGAAACGGCGAAGCUGGAGGCAGAGAGAGGCUGGUGGAAUUCCCGGAGUAGUGGUGAAAUGCGUAGAUAUCGGGAGGAACACCGGUGGCGAAGGCGGCCAGCUGGCUCUGACCUGACGCUGAGGCGCGA